ACAGCAGUAGCCGCGGUAAUACGGAGGAUCCAAGCGUUAUCCGGAAUCAUUGGGUUUAAAGGGUCCGUAGGCGGUCUUGUAAGUCAGUGGUGAAAGCCCAUCGCUCAACGGUGGAACGGCCAUUGAUACUGCAGGACUUGAAUUAUUGGGAAGUAACUAGAAUAUGUAUUGUAGCGGUGAAAUGCUUAGAGAUUACAUGGAAUACCAAUUGCGAAGGCAGGUUACUACCAAUUGAUUGACGCUGAUGGACGAAAGCGUGGGUAGCGAACAGGAUUAGAUACCCCGGUAGUCCCUGUCUCUUAUAC
Molecule: ribosomal RNA, 305 nt
Filed under: uncultured bacterium
Lineage: Bacteria
Description: partial 16S ribosomal RNA
Rfam family: Bacterial small subunit ribosomal RNA
Source: RNAcentral